CCAUGAAUCUUGAAGAGAAUAGAGCAAGAUUAAAGAGAAACUCUUCUUCGGUCUUCAAAUGAUGAGAAUGACAACGAGAAACACCACCAAGAAUUAUUGAGGCACACCGGAAGAAUCAAAAGCGAAGAGGUUGAGCCAACUAUGAAAAGAAUUUGAAAGAUCUUGGAGAAAAACAUUUGACUGAUGACAACUCAUUCUUACGUCAAACUUGGAGAAGAAUUUACGAUAGCUCUGGGAAAAUAGAAGAGUCAGGUAAGAUCCUGGGAAAAAACCUGUGGGUUAGGGCCCACUCAAAAGAACACCGUUGAAAAGAUUUAAAAGAGAUGUUGCACCGGUUGAAUUAAAUGACUUGAAUGAGAUACCAAUCUCGAAAGAGCUUGAACUAAUGCAGAGUGGAAACACGAAUCUUCGAGAUAUCUUGAGCACUCCGGAAUAACAAAUAGCGAGAAGUGAAUGAAUAUGAGGAGCACCGGUAUGAGAAGGCAUUGAAAUGAGGAAAAAGGUAUGAUCAACAAAACUUGACUUGAAUCCACCGGAGAAGAGAAAGGAAUGGCGAACUAGUAGAACAUCUUCUUGAGAACCACCAGGUAAGAACAAUGACGGAAAAGAAUGGAGAAACUUCCCAUCAAUAAAAUGGAUACUUGAAGAAGAAAUCUAAGUCCUUGAACAAAAAGGGUGGGAGGGCGGGAAAAACAAAGGCAACUUGGGGCAGUUGGAAUGAACACCGUUGAGAAAACUUAGAAUUGAUCUUGCGGAUGGGGAGAAUGAUCGGAUCCACUUGAAGAGAGACACACUGGUUGAAAAGGAUUGGCAAGACAAUCUCGAUGAUCAAGAAGGAUUAGUAUUCACAUAGCAAUAUGAGAACACCAUUUGGAAAAGGUAUGGAAUCAACAUUUGACUUCGAAGCAACUCGAAUACCACAACUCAAAACAAAACAAAGGAUUUGGCUUGCAGAAUAAGCCGGAACAAACAUAUGAUAGAGAUUUCGUCCGAAGUUUUCGUGGUGGGGCCUACACGGGCUCGAUCGUACAGCACCAUCAUGUACAAGGCAGUGCACAUGACAUACGAAGCGUCCCCGAGUCGGCAUAGCCAAGGACUCUUUAAGACACAACAAGACCACUGUAAAACCAACCGUGAAUAGGCGGACCACUAGACGUCGAACCCCAAUUUCAUAUCGUACAUCUGUCGGAAAGAUAUCCUAAGAGCUACUUGAAUUCCCACCUAUGAAACUCCCGAAAUUUUCAGGUUAUGCAAUCAGGUGUUGGGGAUACAGGAGAAGCAUAAUAUCUCACCCAAACUAGCAAAUCCUACAUCCAGCUGUAUCCAUCCUUCAACACAUAACCAAGAAACCUUCGGAAAUCAUCUACCUCAACCUUCGAAAAGCAUCCGUUAUACAAGUCAUGGCAAUACUCCCGUACUCACCUCAGUACUGGGUUAUCGGGGUUAUCUCACCAACAACUGCAUAAAAGAGAUUUUCGAUGUCGGCGUACUAAACUCAGGUAUUCCAGAAUUGCAACGAUAAAAUUAUGAUGACAACACCUCAGAGCUCAACUCCCCGGGACACUUCCACUAAACCCCUGACGGGAGGCACCAAGACAAUGUUCUCAUCAUAAAACCAUCGGAACGAUUCCAAGAUACCCGUGUGAUCCUAAAAAAAAAAUUAGUGAAAUUUGAGAAGAGAAGAGUCAAAAAUCUAUGUCAGGAUGCCUUACCAGAGCGAUGAGGAGACUGGGGAGUAAAAAGAAUUCCUAACUCUCCGAUAUAUAUAAUCCUAAAUGACUCAAAAUAUUUUUCUAGACACAACUCGGCCGCUAAAAACGAUCAAGCAAUGGGGCUCCUAAGGUCGGAGAAGGCUCUGAUUACCAACUUGUAACGCCCUCGAUGCAGCUAUAUCUCCCACGUGUCGAAGCACGACUUAGAGGCAUAACCGCAUUGAAAGCAACGUCGCAAGUGAGGUAAUCUUCACACAACCCAUGUAAUACAUAAGGGAAAGAGAUACAUAGUUGGCUUACAAUCGCCACUUCCCACAAUUACAUGAAUAAAGCAUUACAUCAUCCGGAUACAAUCAAGGUCCGACUACGGAACCAAAAUAAAAGAAGAACCCCAAAUGCGACAAAGGUCCCCGAUCGACCCCAACUGGGCUCCACUACUGAUCAACUAGAACGAAACAACACAAAGGGCAAGAUCUUCAUCGAGCUCCUCCUUGAGCUUGGUUGCGUCACCUGCUCGGUAACAUAGGCACCUGCAAACUGGUUUUGGAAGUAUCUGUGAGCCACGGGGACUCAGCAAUCUCGCACCCGCGAGAUCAAGACUAUUUAAGCUUAAAGGAAGGAUGGAGUAAUGAGGUGGAGCUGCAGCAAGCGACUAGCAUAUAUGGUGGCUAACAUACGCAAAUGAGAGCGAGAAGAGAAGGCUAAGCACGGUCGAAAAAAGUAUGAUCAAGAAGUGAUCCUAUAGCAACCUACGUCAAACAUAACUCCAACACCGUGUUCACUUCCCGGACUCCACCGAGAAGAGACCAUCACGGUUACACACGCGGUUGGUGUAUUUUAAUUAAGAUCAACUUCGGGUUUUCUACAACCGGACGUUAACAAAUUCCCAUCUGCCCAUAACCGCGGGCACGGCUUUCGAAAGAUAAUACCCUGCAGGGGUGUCCCAACUUAGCCCAUGACAAGCUCUCACGGUCAACGAAGGAAUAGACCUCCACCCGAGACACUCCGAUCAGACUCGGUAUCCCGGUACAACAAGACAUUUCGACAGGGUAAAACUAAACCAGCAACACCGCCCGAAUGUGCCGACAAAUCCCGAUAGGAGCUGCACAUAUCUCUUUCUCAGGGCACACUCAGAUGAGACUAGCUACGAGUAAAACCAACCCUCAAGUUUCCCCGAGGUGGCCCCGCAGGCAGCUCAGUUCGGACCAACACUCAGAGGAGCACUGGCCCGGGGGGGUUAGAAUAAAGAUGACCCUUGAGUCUGCAGAACCCAAGGGAAGGUGGUAGGUUGUUAGUGCAAAUGGUAAAACCAAUGUUGGGCAUUGCUGGAGGAGCUUUACUUAAGGCGAACUGUCAAGGGGUUCCCAUUAUAGCCCAACCGUGUAAGGAACGCAAAAUCCGGGAACAUAACACCGAUAUGACGGAAACUAGGGCGGCGAGAGUGGAACAAAACACCAGGCAUAAGGCCGAGCCUUCCACCCUUUACCAAGUAUAUAGAUGCAUUAAUUAAAUAAGAUAUAUUGUGAUAUCCCAACAAGUAAACAUGUUCCAACACGGAACAACAUCUUCAUGUUCCAACAAGGAACAAACUUCAAUCUUCACCUGCAACUAACAACGCUAUAAGAGGGGCUGAGCAAAGCGAUAACAUAGCCAAUCAACGGUUUGCUAGGACAUGGUGGGUUAGAGGUUUGGCAUGGCAAUUUGGGAGGCUGACAAGCAAAUGGUAGGCAUCGUAGCAUUGGCAUAGCAAGAGCGAGCAAACUAGCAUAGCAAAGAUAGUAGUGAUUUCGAGGGUAUGAUCAUCUUGCCUGAGAUCCCGCAAGGAAGAAGAAAGAGUCCAUGAAGAAGACAAACGGACGAAGACGAACGAAUCCUCACAACUCCGGAACGAAACCGAAGCUAACGAGAGAAGCAACCCGGAAAGAAACAAACAACAUAGUAAACAAACAUCACAUAAACAUGGCAUGAUGCGCAAACAAGUAUGAUGCAUGUCCGGUUUAAUGAGGCAUGGCAUGGCAAUGUGCACAAACAAUCCUACAAAUUAAAUGGAGCUCAAUAUGCAACGAGUUGCAUAUUGACGAAACACCACGAUAAGUUAUUUAGUUUGAUCCCGUUUAUGUACCCAACAAUAUUAAAUGUUGUUAAGCAUGGCAAGAGGGUGAAGCAAAAUAUAAACUAUACCAUCUAAACAAUUUAAAUGGGGGCCGGAUAUAAAAACAACAAAUCCGGUAAAUCCCCAUAUGCAUUUAGCAAUUUAGUGCAACAACAAGUUUAAACAUUUUAAAUGUUGUUAUCAUGAUGCGGAUGACAUAUACAAGUUUAUGCAAGUUUUUAAGAAAAUGUUGAUAAGAGCAUAUUAUGUAGCAUUUGCCACCGUGGUGGAAAGAAAAGGGGUGCCACGGCAACGAAUCCGAAAAUGAUGCCACGGCAACAUAUCGGUUCCGGUAACUCGAUUGAGAUCCCGGUGCAAAAGAAAAUGCGACGAGAGCGUGACAUGCAAUAGAAUGCGGGGUGCUCUCGAAUACCGAGUUCCCACAUGUCAGUGGCAAGGCAAAAGAGGGGCGACGCAAGGACGAUUCGAUCACAGAGCAAACGAUGCAUCUCAUUCAACACAUGCAUUAGGUCACGGGCGUCGUCUCGGCGUUAUACCUUCGAAGCGUGCAUUCGGGGCGGAACGAGUUCGGUGCGAUGUAGAGGAAGUAGACGUUCUCGUAGCGGUCGUAGAGGAAGUAGUUGUUCACGUGUCGUCGUGGAAGUAGUGGUUCACGGCGACGGUAGUGGUAGCAGUUGUUCAUGUCCCGUAGAUGAAUCGGGGUCCACGGGGUCUUCGGUGUCGAGGUACUUGGCGUUCCAAAACAGAGCAACACCAAAAGGCCUAGGGUCUUGGCGAUGUAGAUGAACACGAGGUCCUGCCCGGGGCUGGUCUUGGCCUUGGCGUUCCUGGUCGAUGAGGGCGAGCGGAGGCGCAUCCUCCUCCCUGCUCGAACAAGGCAGAGGCGGGGCAUGGGGCUGCUCCUGCAAAGGGGCGACGGGAGCCGGACGGUGGCGCUCGGGGAUGGCUGAGGCGGAACCAUAUGGCGAGGCGGCAAGCUUGGCGCGGGCCCCGGGGCCGCCGGAGUUGGCCGAGCUCGGGGACGAGCUCCUGGCUGGCAAGGGGAGCGAGGAGCGCAGGACGGCAGCCAGCAGCGGCUCCUGUGGCCGGCGGGCGGAGGUCCAGGAGAGGUGGAGAAGCAAGAGGACGACGUCAGGUUUGGUGGCGGCGACCGGUGCUAGGGCUCCGGCGAGCUCCGGCCAAAACGAUGGGGAGGAGCGGCGUGGGUGCCAGCGCGCACGGGCGCUCGUGCAGAGGGGGAAGGGGACUCCGGGCUCCUGUUGGAGCUCGUCGUCAGCGGCGAUCGCAGGCCGACGCGGCGGGAUCGAGAGGCACGGGAGGAGGCCUCCAGGCGUUGGGGACGAGGCAGAGGAGGAAGGGGCGUGAGGGAGGAGAUCGAGGGGAGAUGGGGAUCGAGCGAGGAGCUCUCGCUCCUCUCUGGCGGCGCGAGCAGGGGAAGGAGAUGGGGAUCGAGGAGAGGUAGAUGGCGGCGUGAGGGAGAGAUCGAUGUGCGGGGCUUCUCCCUGGCGGCGGUGGACGAACGAGGGAGUGAUGGGAGAUGCGAGGGGAUCGGGCUAGGUUAGAGGGUUAGGUGGGCCGGGGGAGUGGGGCGCCGGCUGGGCCUGGGAGGUCGGCCUAGUGGAGAGAAAAAAUGGCAGAGGCCUGGUGGGCUGACAAAGGGCCUAGCUGGGCUGCAGGAGGCCGACUGGGCUACAGGCUGCACUCUCUCUUCUCUCCCUCAUUUUCCCAUUUAAAACAAAACAGAAAAUAAAGAGAAAGAAAAAGGGAAGAGAAGAAAGGUUAGAGAAAGAGUUGGGCACGGGGAUAAUUUUCCCGGACUCGCAAAAAAAAAUAAGCUCGUACCAAGAAAAAUAGAAAGGGGCAUGAUUGAAAGAUUAAAUUCAAACUCAUUUGAUUUAAAUUCAAAUGAUUUGAAUAGGAAGUGAGGGUUUGGGAAGGUCCAAAAAUGUUCGGAAUUUUGGUGGAGCUCCGGAAAAUGAUGAAAGAAAAUACGGGCAAGGUUGGAGAACAAGAAUUAAGAUAAUAAAGGCAUUGGGAUAUUUUGCAAGUGUGUUAAGGUGAUUCCAAAACAAUGGAAUAUUUUAUUAUAGCUCCCUAAAUAUCGGGAGGGUAUGUUAUAAAGAGAAGUCACCCUUCCCUCGAUUUAAAUGGAUCGAAGAUCCAUACAAUUUAUUUAGUUGAGUUGCAAAAGAUUUAUGAGAUGACGGCAUGAUGACAUGAUGCAAUGCAAAAAUAAAAGGGCAGGCACAAAUAAAACACACGGCGAAAACUGGAAACCCUGGAAGGCAACUGAAGCUCCGGUCUUGGGGCGUUACACACCACCAGAUUCGUGGUCAUACCGGAAAUUAUUAGAAUUCUUGAACUCCUGCAUAAUAAAGCAAUCCUUCCAAAGGUGGUUUGCUGGCGCCUCCUUCGUCCCAUGUCUUGGACAGAGCUGGCUUAGCAGAUAGUUUAGGCGGUCUGGGUUAGGGUUGGGUGCCCCAUUACGAUUUUUCGGUUUACCCUUGCGUCGCUGGCCAUUGUCCUGUGCAUUGGUAUUAGCCACAAAGUCCAUGUUACCAUCCGCUUUACGCUUGCCUCCACCACCAUUGCCUGUCCAGUGAUGCUGCUGACCUUUGGAGUUGUUGUUCCUCUUUCCCUUCCCUGUCUUGUCAUCAUCAGAUUCGGGAUCCUUGGUACUAUCAGAAUCAGCAUAUUUCACCAAAGAGGCCAUGAGGGUCCCCAUGUCAGUGCAAUGACGGUUCAUCCGUCCCAACUUUAGCUUUAGGGGCCCAAACCGGCAGUUGCCUUCUAGGGUUAAUACUGCGGUGUCAGCGUUGAUGCGGUCUGAUGAGUGUAACACUUGUGAAACCCGGUGCACCCAAUGAGUCGUUGACUCUCCUUCCUCCUGGACGCAGGCAGCUAAGUCCACUAUCGACAUAGGCUGUUUACAUGUAUCCUUGAAAUUGCUGAUAAACUGGGCUCGUAAUUGGGCCCAUGAACUAAUAGAAUUAGCCAGCAAGCUUUUUAACCAAGUACGGGCCGUUCCUUCAAGCAUCAUGGUGAAGUAUUUCGCACACGUCGCGUCAUCCACAUCAAGCAUCUCCAUGGCCAUCUCAUAGCUCUCCACCCAUGUCUCUGGAGGUUGAUCCGCCGUGUAAUUUGGUACCUUGUGCGGGCCUUUGAAAUCCUUGGGCAGGCGCACAUUGUGUAAAGCGGGGAUAAGGCAAGGCACCCCUAAAGAGCUAGAAGUAACACCAGGUUCGAUCGAGAUAGUUGGAUGAACCGGCGUGAGCUGCCGAGCCUGAUGUUGUGCGGCUAACUCGGCCUCCCUGCGCGCUCGGGCCCGGUCCACCACUUCCUGAGCCUUAUCAGCACCGCCCGCCGGGUUGUUGCCACGGGGUGCUCCAUGUCGUUCAUUACUCGACACUGCCAAUUCAUCCAUAUGUCUGCUAUAGCUCCGGCUUGGACGGGGGGUCGAGUGGAUCCGGUCGCGGCUGUACGAGUACGCUUCCUGUUGGACCAAAGCUGUCCUCAGAAGCUCCUUGACCCGUCGCGUCUCUAGUGCCUGUGGCGAGUCAUCUUCAAUUGGAAUGGCCUCCAGUCGUGCAGCAGCAGCGACGAGAUUGUCCAUCUGACGAGGCUGAACCAGUGCACCGGUCCCGAGAGCUUCCGCCCGGUUUUCCUCCAGCGGAUUGCCGGUUCCUACUCCUGGAGUGUUGAAAAGGUCUCUGGCCUCAAAAACCGGAGGCAAACAGGACCGGUACUUCCUCCUCAUGACUUCCUGCGACGCACUCUGGUCCAACAUGAGCCUGUAGGCUUGUGCGUCUAAAGCGGCCCGCUCCGUGGCCAUCCUGGUGUCCUCAGCUGCCAGAUCUGCCUUGGCCUGGGUGAUCUGUUCCUUCACUUUUGCAAUCUCGGCAUUGUGAACGCCCUGAUCCGCCAGAUUAGCCUCCGCCAUAAGCACAGCCAAUGCAUCAAAUAGCUCUGAUAGAACUUGAGUCGGCGGGCACACAGGGCCUCCUGCCCCGGCAGCCGUCACCGCUGCUGAACCGGAGGUUGUUGCCGCAACGGUCAAAGAAUGAAGCGCUGCUUGUGUGCCAGUCAUGAAUAUUCCAACCCGGUUGGGCAGAUCAGAGGGGUCCGGAAUACUGUCGCCAUCGGAACAGCCCCCAAUCCGGCCGUCUUGUAGCUGAUAAAGAGAUUCGGUUUCUCCGGUCGAUGACUCUUCAUCGGAACAAACAACAGUCUCGCCGCGAGAUUCCGAUCUAUCCUCAUAACUUCCUCCAUGGAUGACCCCCCCCGAAGGCACGCUUUAUGGCCGGUUUAACCCGGGCGGAUCGCGCACGCUGAGCCAUCUCGACGAGGUCGGUGCAGAUGUCCGGCUCAAGGCCUGGUUCACCGAUCUUGCCAAUGAAAACGUGAAUGCCACCAAAGGGGACCCGGUACCCGUACUCAACUGAGCCGGCCUCGGGGCCCCAGCCUGCGUCGUCGAUGUAGAGCUUGCCGCGACGACUCUUAGUCAUCCGGCCUACAGCGUAGCCCUCGAGUCCUUUAAAGCGGCCCUCCAAGAACCUGAAACCAUCGUGCGACGGCCCCACAGUGGGCGCCAACUGUCGUGGUUUUGUCACGGCAGAUGUCCUGGAGAAACGACUUAGUCGUGGAGCCAUCGCGACGGGUUAGCUUGAAGGGGUUAAAGUGGACACAGGGACGCAAGAGAGUUAUACUAGUUCGGCCCCUUCAAUGAAGGUAAAAGCCUACGUCUAGUUGUGAUGGAAUUGAUGGGGUUUCGAUGACUAGGGAGCAAACAAGCUUCGCCUAUGUCUCGAGUUGUUGUCUCUCCUUGAACCGCCGCCGGGUCGUCCCCUUAUAUACACGGGUGACGCCCAUCGGUUCACAGAGUCCCAACACCGGUCGAUAUUCGUAUCCGGGUUGGUCUCUCCUUAUUCCUAACUUAUAAUACAAGUUUAUAUACAAAUACCGGUUUACAGCUACAAGUCUUGAACCGACUACGGGCCUUAGGCCCUCAUCUGCCUUCUUGGGCUUUAGCACUCUUGAACUACUGAUGAGGUUGACCCGGCCCAGAUAGGCCGGUUUACGCCCAGCAAUAAUAUCCCCAACACCACAGGUAGGCCAACCCGAGCCCAAAACCUUGCAAGACAUCGGGGCAGGGUGCGCCCCUCAAGGCCCCAGGACAAAGAGCCGCCUUCAAGAAGUCAAUGGCAAGACGGCCGACUGACCACUCGCGGCCGAGUCCCAUGGACGAUCGUAGGGAAAGCCGACUCCUGACUGGCGACUUCUGGAGAAGCCAGCUUUGGGGAGUCGGCCUGCGACUCCAACAAACCCCGUGACCUCAUCAAGGGGGACGGGGCGGGAGAGUGGCUACAGUGAAGCCCACUCCCGCCCCUUACCAAGGGUGGGCAUGGCCACAGCACGCCGUACCCCGGAAGAUCUCCGUGUGGCAUGGCACUGUUGCCAUGCCGGACCUGACAUCAGCACCGUAGGACCGAAUCGUGCACCCACGACAGCUUGUCUGUACGGCUCAGAGGCAGCGGGUCCCACCAGUCGGUGAGACCCCAGGAGACGGCAAGAGGACCACCAGUCGGACCCGUCGGGAGUCGGCCGAGCCCUCCCCCGGGGCCCACGCACCAUUAAUCAAGAUGUGAUGGAGAGUGGCAAUAGUGAUCGCCCGCCAGGCGGCGGGGCUGUUGCCACGACCCCAUGAUCAAGCCCGCGUCAUCAGAAGCACGACACAGUAAUCAGCAGCCGGCAAGACCCGCCCGCGGCGGACGCGGCCUAUCGGCUCCGUACCGGGCCAGUCGGCGGGCCCCAGCGGUCGGCGGGGAAGACGGAGGCCAGAGGCGCUGACGGCUGGGCCCGCGUCCUGCCGGAUUACCAUUGUACCCCUGGGGGUAGGCCUGUAUAAACCCCCCCCCAGGGCACCCAUGCAAAGGAUUGGAACCCAUUAGCUCUAGGCCAGAUCAUAUAGAUGGGAGAGAGCUAGCCUUGCCCUCUCCUACCUCCAAGAAACAGCUCAAGGAGCAACCGUGUAAACACUUUGCCAUAGUGAUCAUGCGGAGACCCCGCAGAGCAGCAGUAGGGGUAUUAUCUCCCCGGAAAGCCCUGAAGCUGGGUAAGAUUCGCCAGCGUGCAUGCCUUCGCCUCAUCCCGUUUCCAGGCACCGGCGAUGUUCUACUCGCCCCCACCAUGAUAAGCCAUCCUUUGGCAUAUGUCGCACCAAACCCUCGACAUUUGGCGCCCACCAUGGGGCAUGGUGCACCGCCCUCCGGAGACCUGUUCUGGACAGGAACCCUUUUCUCCCUGGCGAGCGCAGCCAGCCAAGCACGCCAGACGGAGUUUGCGUCGACGCGCUAAGCAGCGUUGAGAUCGCCUGCGCAGCCAGCUGCCUGGCCGAACUUGUCGGCGAGGUUUGCCUCUCCGACGAACCUGCAUCCAACGCAGGCACGGGCGGCCCCGAGAGCCUCCUCGCGGGCCUCCUCGAUCAGCUCCACAUUUCUGGCGAGACUGGCGUAGACUUAGAGUCCGUAGGCUCCACCGACCCGAUGCUGGUCGACUCCGACACCGUGUCGCUCGACGCGUUCCCCACCAAUGUGGUGGUCUACGACGAACCUCUCCCUCUCGCGGAGAGCAACGGAAGCACCAUCACCGAGGUGCUCGUCAUCAGUCAUGACGAGCUCCCCGGCGGAGGAGCGCACGAUUCACUCGGCGUGGCGCUACAAGACCUAACUGCGCCCAUUCCGGAAGACGCUGCCGCAGAGACGUUGGAGGCGCGCUGCCUUCAGCUUGUGGAAGGCGCGAAGAAGCUGGCCAGCAUGAGGCGCUUGUCAGAAGCCUACCAGUGGGAGAUGGAUCGCGCCGUCGGCGGCUCGCCGGCCCCGGCGGGGCCUAGCCGCCUUGGCGCGGUCCAGCAAUGCGGCGUAGCCAUCGCCAACCUGUUUGGGGCAAGCCGCCCUGUGUACGCUACACCAGCGGAGAACAUCCGAGCCGGCCAGGCAGCGGCGGAUGAGCUGGACAAUUUUGAGGGCGAAGAACGCCGCCUCAUGAUGGAGCGAGUCCAGCGGCUCCUCGACGCGGCCGCCAUGCAGAACGAGGCCGGCUGCCGCACGGAGGCGCCGCAUCGGCCAAACGACGACCUUCACCGAGAUCAAGGCGCGACGUCUCGGACGCCGACUGGCGGCGCCCGAGGAAGAAGAGACAAGGAGCCAGCUGUCAGCCACAGUCGGACUCACAUUACCAUAGAGCGUGACCGAGACGGCCGCCCGAGAGCAGUGGAACGACGGGACGACUGUCCGCCUCCCCCUCCCCGCAAGGAGAGGCGAGUCUCCCCGCCGCCUGUUGACCAUCCGACUCUCGGCGACCGCCUUGGCCGCCGAGAGGGAGUUGGAGAGAAUGACGCCCGCCACCGGAUCGACCGACUUCACCGAUCCUUAGCGCUGGAAGAAGACGACGAGCUGGGUCCGCCUUGUUUCGGGCCCCGCAUUCGGGGUGAGCCCUUUCCCAGAGGGUUCACGCUCCCAAGAGACACGCCCAAGUAUACCGACUCCAUGAAGCUGGAAGACUGGCUAGUCGACUACUCCACGGUUGUCAGCAUAGCAAACGGCAACAAGCGUGUCGCCGUAAAGUACGUUCCGCUCAUGCUCCAGGGCACGGCCCGGACAUGGCUGAACAGCCUGAAGCCCCACAGCAUCAACUGCUGGGUCGACUUCACCGAAGCAUUCGUCUGCAACAUUCACCAGCACGUACAAGCGUCCUCCCAAGCCUCGUCAGCUCUCCUUGUGCGUACAAGGCCCCGACGAGUCGACUCGCGAUUACCUCACGCGUUGGGCCGAGCUACGGAACUCCUGUGAGGGCGUGCACGAGGUGUAGGCCAUGGAGUACUUCACAGCCGGGUGCAGAGAAGGCACCCUCCUCAAGCACAAGCUCCUCUGCGAUGAGCCAGAAACCCUCGACGAGCUGCUGAUCAUAGCGGACAAGUACGCCACGGCCGACUCCUCCAUGAAGGCGGAGAUUCAAGUCAGCACAACUGGCAAAGUGGCCUCUCAAGCUCCAAGAACUCCGGCGGCAGACGCCAACCGGCGACAACAGUAGGGCGACCACAAGCGAAGGCCCCGCAGCCGGCAGGUCGCGACCGUUGAAGCCCAGCAGCCAGAUGAGCAGCCUUCGCCCAAGCGACAGAAAGGCGGCAAGCCAAACUGGUUGCCGACCUUCUCCUAUGAGCAGACCCUGGAUGGACCUUGCAAGUUCCAUAGCGGCGCGAAGCCAUCGAAUCACACCACCCGGAAGUGCCACUGGCUCACCAGGAUCGCUAAGGGAGAUGGCCUCCUGCCUCCCCCGCCUGCUGGGCAGCCGCCUCCGCCUCCGCCUCCGCCCCAGCAGCCGGCUGUCAGGCCAGCCGGCGCAGUACAAGACGAAUACCCUGAAGAGCAUGGAUCCUACAUGGUGUUUACCAGUAUGGCUGAUGAUCGAUGCAGCAGGCGGCUGCAGCGACAAGAGGUGAAUGCAGUAGCAUCGGAGACGCCAGAUUUCAUGCACUGGUCCGAGAAGCCCAUCAGCUGGAGCAGGGCUGACCACCCAGAAGUGAUGCCGAGUCCGGGCUCCUAUGACUUGGUCCUGGACGCCACCUUUGCUACAGACAGACGAGCCGCGCGUUUCUCCCAAGUUCUGAUAGACGGAGGUAGCGGUAUCAAUAUCCUGUACAAGGACACCAUGGAGAAGUUAGGAAUCAAGCAAAUAAAGCUUCAGAACAGCCGAACUGUGUUCCACGAACUUUUUCCUGGGCUUUCCUGCUCACCAAUCGGCAAGAUCCUGAUGGACGUCCUCUUUAGAGACAAAGAUCACUUCCACCGAGAGUCUGUUUGGUUUGAGGUGGUGGACCUCGAGAGCCCAUACCAUGCGCUACUCGGUCGACCCGCCUUGGCCAAGUUCAUGGCGGUCCCCCACUACGCCUACCUCAAGAUGAAGAUGCCCAGUUCCAGAGGAAUUCUGACUGUGGCUGGCGACUACCAGAAGUCAUCUGCUUGCGCGGCUGAGAGCAGUCGGCUGGCCGAGUCCCUGGUAAUCGUGGCUGAGAAAUGGCUCCUUGAGCGAGUUGUGGCGAUGGCCGGCAAGCAGCCUGAGGUAUCGCCCAACCCAAAAGAGUCGGAGGCUGAGGGUUCGUUCAAACCGGCCAAAGAGACAAAGAAGAUACCCUUGGAUCCGGAGCACCCAGAGAGGUAUGCCGUCGUAGGUGCAAACCUCGACAGCAAAUAGGAAGGCGAGCUCGUCGAUUUCCUCCGUGAGAAUCGGGACAUCUUCGCAUGGUCCCCCAAAGACAUGACAGGUGUACCGACGGAAUUCAUCGAGCACAAGUUACAUGUCCGAUCUGAUGCAAAGCCGGUCAGGCAGCCCCUGUGCUGCCUAUCAGAAGAGAAGAGAAGAGUUGUCAGAGAAGAGAUAGCCCGACUCCUAGCAGCCGGCUUCAUUAUGGAAGUGUUCUUUCCAGAAUGGCUAGCAAAUCUGGUCCUGGUACUGAAGAAGAACAAGCAGUGGCGAAUGUGUAUUGACUACACGAGCCUCAACAAGGCCUGUCCCAAGGACCCAUUUUCUCUACCAAGAAUCGAUCAGGUGAUAGACUCCACAGCCGGAUGCGAGCUGUUGAGUUUUUUGGAUGCAUACUCAGGAUAUCACCAGAUCAAGCUGAACCCGGCUGACAGACUGAAGACCGCCUUCAUCACACCAUUUGGAGCCUUCUGCUACCUCACCAUGACGUUUGGCUUAAGGAAUGUCGGCGCCACCUUUCAGCAUUGCAUGCAGAAGUGCCUCCUCAAGUAGCUCGGCAGAAAUGCCCACGUCUACGUAGACGACGUGGUGGUGAAGACGGAAAAGCGCGGAACGCUGCUGGAAGACCUCAAGGAGACCUUUGAGAACCUACGCCGAUUCCAGAUCAAGCUCAAUCCCGAGAAGUGCGUCUUCGGAGUACCAGCCGGCCAGCUCCUCGGCUUCCUGGUCUCUGAACGCGGCAUAGAAUGCAAUCCAGUAAAGAUCAAGGCCAUUGAGAGAAGCCGACUGCUGGAUGUGCAAAGGUUCAUCGGCUGCUUGGCGUCCAUCAGCCGAUUCAUCAGUCGGCUGGGCGAGAAAGCUCUCCCCUUAUACCAACUCAUGAAGAAGACCACUUUUUUCGAGUGGAACCAUAAGGCAGACGAAGCUUUUCUCCAGUUGAAGAAGAUGUUGACUACUCCACCCGUCCUGGCGGCCCCGACCCCUAAGGAACCUAUGCUCCUGUACAUCGCCGCCACCAGCCGGGUGGUCAGCACGGUCAUUGUAGUAGAACGCAAGGAGGAAGGCAAGGCACUACAUAUCCAGAGACCGAUAUAUUACCUGAGCGAAGUACUAUCGACCUCCAAGCAGAACUACCCCCACUACCAAAAGAUGUGCUAUGGUGUACACUUUACUGCCAAGAAAUUGAAGCCUUACUUUCAACAGCAUCCAAUCACGGUGGUCUGCACGGCCCCGCUUGCCGAGAUCAUUGGUAGCCGAGAUGCUUCUGGCCGAGUGGCCAAGUGGGCCAUAGAGCUGGCUCCCUACACCAUCCACUACCAGCCCCGCACCGCUAUCAAGUCACAAGCAUUGGCCGACUUUCUCGUCGACUGGGCCGAGACCCAGUACCUACCUCCAGCGCCUGAUUCCACCCAUUGGUGGAUGCAUUUCGACGGCUCCAAGAUGCGCACCGGCUUGGGAGCCGGCGUCGUCCUCACCUCUCCCAAAGGCGAAAGCUCAAAUAUGCGCUGCAAAUCCACUUUGCCGCCUCCAACAACGUCGCCGAGUACGAGGCGCUCAUUCACGGGCUCCAGCUUGCCAAAGAACUUGGCAUCCGCCAGAUCUUGUGUUAUGGCGACUCGGACUUAGUGGUCCAGCAGUCAUCUGGCGACUGGGACGCGAAAGAUGCAAACAUGGCGAGUUACCGUUUCCUCGUGCAGCAACUCAGCGGGUAUUUCGAAGGGUGCAAGUUCCUCCAUGUGCCAAGAAACGAUAACGACCAAGCAAACGCCUUGGCACGAAUCGGCUCUACCCGCCAAGCAAUACCACCCGGCGUCGCCCUUCAACGCCUCCUCAAGCCGUCUGUCAAGCCUUCACCAGAAUCAGACUCCAUUUUUGUGCCGACUCCCCCCGAAGACGUCGAAACCGACUCCAGAGCCCCGGCAGUCGGCACGGGGAUUUUGGCAGAUGGCUCCAAAGCCGCCACAGGCGAACCCGGCCCGGGGACUGCGGCAGCGGACUCGAAGACUCCAGAACUCGACCCAAGGGCCGCGCCAGUCGGCCUGGGGACUUCAUUAACCCAGCAAGCGGUUGUUGACUCCAACCCGCCGCCUCCCAGCCCAACCACCCUCGUCCAAGUCACAGUUCUGGUAGUCGAAGAAGUAGCAGCACCCUCAUGGGCCCAGCCCAUCCUCAAAUUCCUGGUGAGCAAAGAGCUGCCAACUGACGAGACCUCAGCUUGGCAAGUAUAACGUCGGGCGGCAGCCUACACCGUAGUCAACAGAGAGCUGGUCAGGUGCAGCGUCACUGGUGUCUACCAGCGCUGUGUAGAGCCAGAGCAAGGACAAGCAAUUCUCAAAGACAUCCAUCAAGGCGAGUGCGGCCACCAUGCGUCUUGAAGAGCGCUCGUCGUAAAAGCCUUUCGACACGGUUUCUUCUGGCCGACUGCCCUAGAAGAGGCCAAGCAGUUAGUCCAAAAAUGCAAAGGGUGCCAGAAGUUCAGCUCCAAGCCGCACCAGCCUGCUUCUGCACUCAAGACCAUCCCCAUUGCCUGGCCUUUCGCAGUUUGGGGUCUAGACAUGGUGGGACCAUUCAAGACAGCACGAGGUGGCUUAACUCACUUACUUGUCGCUGUGGACAAGUUCACCAAGUUGAUAGAAGCGAAGCCAAUCAAGAAGCUGAACGGCCCGACUGCUGUGACUUUCAUCGCCGAUAUCACAAUUCGGUACGGCAUACCACACAGCAUCAUCACCGACAACGGCACAAAUUUCGCCAAAGGCGCCUUGGCCCGUUUUUGCGCAACACAAGGCAUCCGACUGGACCUAGCAUCCGUCGCCCAUACACAGUCAAACGGCCAGGUGGAGCGAGCAAACGGCCUCAUCCUGUCCGGCAUCAAACCCCGGCUAAUCGAGCCUCUAGAGCGCUCGGCUGGCUACUGGCUCGACGAGCUACCAGCCGUCCUCUGGAGUCUGCGCACGACUCCAAACAAGUCAACCGGCUUCACGCCUUUCUUCCUUGUCUACGAUGCCGAAGCCGUCAUCCCAACAGACAUAGAGUUCGACUCCCCACGAGUCACCAUGUACACCGAGGAGGAAGCAGAAGAAGCACGACAAGACGGCGUCAAUCUGCUGGAAGAGGGCCGGCUGUUGGCACUCAGCCGGUCUAGCAUCUACCAGCAGAGCCUGCGCCGAUACCACAACAGGAAGGUCAGGCCAAGAUCUUUGCAAGAAGGCGACCUUGUGCUCCGACUGAUCCAGCGAAUAGCUGGCCAGCACAAGCUGUCGGCGCCUUGGGAAGGCCCUUUCAUCAUCAGCAAAGUACUGGGCAACCACUCCUACUACCUGAUUGACGCUCAGAAGCCCCAAGCACGCAAGAGGGACAACUCCGGCAAGGAGACAAAGCGGCCAUGGAAUGCAAAUCUCCUCCGAAGAUUUUACAGUUGAUGCAGUAUGUACCACACUACCUUUUGUAUUAAAGUACCAAGACUUCGGGCCCCCCCGAGACGAGCUCGGGGACUGCCCUCUUUUGUCUGUAUGAUAAAAAUUAUGCCUGCAAGUAUGUUACUCCUUUUUUUUGCCGUUUGGCAUAGGGCUCGACAAGUCGGCCCGGGGACUUGCCGCCUUGCACUAUGAAAUGCUUCCUGCAGUCGGACAAAUAGUGUGUAAACGCCUAAACCGUCUCCUGUCAGAAGCCGCAGCUCGUAGAGCGACUGUACGGUGGGCAGAAGUAAGGUAGAAUGGGCAUUCGCAUGAAAAAUGGCAAAGGAAUCAAAGCAUAAAACAUAGCUCAAGACGGCUUCCAGCCUUUUUGCAAACCGACUCUCGAGUAGUCAGAUUGCCGCCUCCUAUUCAACUUGCUCAAAAACUCUUAAAAACGGCUAAGUACUUGCCUUCCCAAAGUAGCCAAGCAUUUGAUCCAGCGGCAGUCCGCAGAGCAGCCGUCCGAUUGGCAAGGCAGACAACUCGGAUAAAUAUAUUUACAUAGCAUAGGCCCUUGGCCGAAUCUUUGAGCAGAAGUUCAAAAUACACCCCGCGGGUGGAAUUGUGCGAAUUAACAAGUUCUUCAAAGACUACUGAAGCAGAUAAAAUAAAGGUAAAGCGGCAGCUUAGGAAGCAGCUGACGGAUUCGGAGGGUCGGACGAGGCGGCAGCGUCAGGUGUCGGGGCGGCCGGUUGGCUAGUCUCGGAUUGAUCGCCUCCGGCGGCAGUCAGGUCGGUCGCACGCGGCUCGUUGCUGGAGGCGCGGUCGAGCUGAGGCUGGCCGUCUGCUCCGUCUUCCGGUGCCUCCGUCUCGCCUCCGUCCUCCGCCUCGCCUUCCUCCUCGACGCUGGAGCCAAUCACCUUCGCCGAGUCCUCGCCGUAGUCUGGGUUCAUCCCAAACCACUCCGGCGUACCUCCUCGCUGUCUUCAGACCGCUCGGGGACGAAGAUGCUGGUGUCGAUGUACUCGGCGAUCGCUGCAGCAUGCUUGACGAGGGCGUCUUCCACAGCUGCCAGCUCCAGCUGGGCCUCCGACCGAAGCGUGGCCAGCCGGUCUAGAUCCAGCCCCGGAUACCACGCCUUGACGAACUCCAAGGCCCGGCGCGCUCCAGCUCGAGCCAAAGAGCCCUUCCAGGCCUCAAGACGACCAGCCGCGACCUCUAGCCAGUCGGCCGUCAGGCUAGGGGUGCACGGAGCCUGCAUGUCCGGCCAUAGGGCGGCAAUUGCCUGGGCACCGACACGCAGAAGCCGGCGCAGCAUCCGGUGAGUCGGCCGAAGGCGAGCCUCGAUGCUCAGGAUGUGCUCGUCAAGGGUUCGGGGGGCGUCGGCGGCGAUCUCCGCGCCCUCCGCCCUCCGCCCACCGACCUUCACGAUCAGCCUCGAUGGCUUGGAUGGCGGCCUGCGAGUGCCCAGGAAAGAAGUCUGCCAAGAUGGAAGAAAUGAAGAAGCAAGUCAAAAACCAGGAGUCGGCACGACUUAUAAUCAGCAGCUCGAAGAAAGAAAGUAAAGAAACUCACCAUCAACGAUGUCUUCAAUCUCAUGGAACCCGGAGGCCAGCAUCGCCUCCUUGUCGGACCAGGAGGAGCGCUCGUACGCGAACUUGGCCAAGAGGGCGGUCUCCGUCUCUUCCGCCUUCCUCUGCGUCUUCACAAGCACCUCCUUCUGCUCUGCCAAUUGAGUGGCCAGCAGAUCGUGCUCCGUGGUGAGCUUGCUGCACUCCUCCCCUUUGGCGCGCAAUGCCGAGUUGGCUUCGCUCAGCUACUGUUGAAGAGCAGCAUUGGCUCCUGAAAAGAAGAAAGAAAGAAGGCAUUAAGUCAUCAAUAAAGAAGAUCGCCGGGGAGAUCCGGCCCGACUGCUCAGCAGUCGGCCCGAAUCUCGGGGACUAUGCCCGCGGGUGCGCUAGCGCGCCCCCGCAAAGAAGGAAAAAUACCUACUCUAGCUCUCCGACAAAUCGGCGGUCCGCUUGCCCAGCUCUUCAACGUUACGGUUGAAGGCAGUGACGCGGAGGUUGUGGUAAUCCUGCGUCAAGCAUUUCAGACAAAAAAUUAAUACCCAGAGUUCGUCAAUUGGAGUUCCGGACCGCCUGCUCAGCAGCCAGCCCGAAACUCGGGGACUACCCCCAGUGGGUGUGCUGGCGCGCCCCCACAGAGAGGAACAAGGAAACAAGGACCAAAGGAAAAAACAUACCCGGACGGCUGCCCGCGACGCCAGGUACGCCUUGGUGCAAUUCUGGAGAGCGUCUCCCUCGGCACGAAGCUUCGCCUGGACGUCCAGAAGCGCCUGGUUCAGCGGCCCUGUGCCACCUCCUCGCACCCACCCAAUGGGCGCGGCGCUCGUCGCUUCGGCGUUUGGGAUCGCCGAGCUGGCGGUGCCGGCCUCCAGGGGGCAGGGUGCCGAAGUCGCCUUCUCCAGACGGCGCCGCGUCGGUGAGCCGACUUGGAGGAGUAACCUCGCCACGGCCUCGUCUUCGGUCGGCGGCACCGGAGGGUCUGCUGGCUGCUUGCCUUGCUCUCCCUCAGACGGCGGCGGAGGCGGCGGCGGAACGAUCACGUCCGGUGUAGAAGGGUCGCCGCCUUCCCUCUCCACGGCGGGGUUCUCGCCGCCGGCUUCCCCAGUCUGCCCCGUGAACUCCGGAGGCGGCGGCGCAGAGUUCAACGGGGUGACGAACACCGCCGAUUGGCGGCGUGCGGCCUCCUCAGCCUGCCGCUUCGUCGCGGCGGCGGCUUCGGCCUCCGCCAGUUUUUUCUUGGCGGAGGCCUCCGCCCUAUCGGCAUCCGCCUUCUCUAGGCGAACGUCCUCUUCUUUGUUGCGCUUCUCUUGCGCAUUCUGCUCUGUCGCCUCCCGGAGGUCAGUAGCGGGGUCAAUCUGCCGAGUGGUGGCGGACGUCUCCGCUGACCCCAUGACGGAGGCGGCGGUGACCCUCUCAAGAGUGAGGGGAGCCCUGAAGCAAGGGGAGCAAGCAAAUACUCAGACAAAGCCACAAAGAAGAAUAAAGCAUUAAGACAGAAUACUCACGCGGAGACCAAUGGCGGCUCCUUCACUUCCUUACGGAAGCGGAUGGCCUUCGCAGCUGCCUUGUCCCGCCAGGUCGCCGCAGCCGGACCCUUGGGCUUCUUCGGCCGACUGCCAAACAAGGUCGGCACGGCCCUGCACUUCUUCCCGCCGCCUGGAGCCCCCGGCGCAGCAGAAGAGCCCGCGCUAGGCUGGCCGGCUCAUGGCCGAUGGCAGGGGGCGACUUCUCCCUCGGCGUCGUCGUCAGGCCAGUCGGUGAAAGUGGCCGAAGGCCUGAAGUCGCGUGCUGCUCCUCCUCCUCCCUCGGCGUCGUCCUCCAGAGCCGCCGCCCCCAGAUCGGGGUCAUUGACAUCGCUCUCCGCCCGGUCGGCGAGGAACUCGCGGGCCGGCCCCGAGGUGCCGGCUGGCGGGUGGAGGAGGGGAUUCUGACCAAGGCCGACUGGUCAAAACAAACUCGGCGAGAAAAAAGACAAUCCAAAGAAAGAAAGGAAAGGUAACUCACCACAGGCGGGGGGUUGGCACGGGAGUACGGCUCCUUGCCGAACCGCCAAUCCUCCAGGAGUUUGCUGUCUGAGAGGUAGUUCACCAUGAAGGCCACCUCCUCGUGAGGCAUGUCCUUGGUGCACAUCCGACUCGGGUCGCGGUGCCCGCUCAUCUGGCAUAUCAUAUGGGGGUGGCCUUGGAGCGGGAGAACUCGGCGCGCCACGAAGGCGGCCAGUAGGUCUGGACCAGUCAAGCCCUCCGACUGCGUCAGCACUCGGAGUCGCGGAUGGCGCCGGCUCCCGCAGGCGUCAGCGACUUGGCCCGGUACGACCAGUUGGGCAGUCUCCCAGCCGGCGGGCCAGCUUCGAAAGCCGGCAGGUUCACCCAGUCGCCCCUUGCGGAGACGCUCCUAACGUAGAAGUACGAUCUCUGCCACAUCUUCACCGACUUUAUCAGCAAGAUGGAGGGGAAGGGGUUGUCGUCCCCCGACCUUCGCACGGCGAUAAAAGCGCCGCAUUGAGCCGGCACGCCUGCAGCCUGGGUGCCGAGCUUGGAGAAGAAGAACUCCCCCUAGAGCUCGAGGGUGGGGAGGACUCCGAGGAAGCCUUCGCACAAGGCCACGAAGGCGGACAGCAGCACCGCUGUGUUGAGGGUGAGGUGGUGCGGCUGGAGGCCGUAGAACUCCAGGAAGGAUCGGAAGAAACUGCUCGCCGGCAGCCCCAACCCGCGCAAGCAGUGCAAGCGGAAGAUGACCCGCUCGCCCUCCUGUGGCGCGGGGGAAAUCUCCCCCUUCGGCGCAAGACGCACCCGCACGUGAUCCUCGCCGGGGAGCCGACGAGUCUGGCGGAGGACUCGACGUGGUCAUCGUGAACUUCGGAGCCUUCCUAGGUACCGGAGCACACCGGGGGAGGCGCGGCGGCAGAGGAAGAGCCCAUCGCGAGCUGAUCGCCACGGCGUUCAUCAGAGCUUGGGCGCGCGGCGGAGCGAAGAUGAAGAAGAAGAAGGAGAGCGAGGAGUAGUGAGGAGGAGGAAAGCGAGGAGCAGUGAGAAGGAAGAGAGCAAGGAGUGGUGGGAAGGAGGAGCGCGCGUGCCCCCCUCUUUCCCCUACUUAUAGCCUCGUGGGCUACGAAGCCGAUGGGGCGGUCGUGGGAUUUACUGCGCCCACGGCCCCACGACCCCCAUGUUCCACGACAAAGUUACCGCGCGCAGUAACUCCACGAGAAUCCCAACCGUCCAUCGGGGCCGCGGCGGAUCCGCUCGGGCGCCGAGGCGUGGUAGUGGCGGGCCCCACCUAUGGGCCUGUCCCGUCGCACGCGUAGGUUGGCAGAAUGGCCCAACCACGUGUCAUCGCAUGACAGGCCUAGAACGGGUGGCGGCCUGGAGGCUUAGCUAGCACGCUACUUGGAUCCCGCCGCGACGUUUGAAAUAUUGUGCGAGUCGGAAUUGAGCGAAUCCGAGUUGAGCGAGUCCGACUCCUUCUAGUCGGCCCGGCAGAAGUCCAUCCAAGACCAUGUGUUGAGCACCCAGAAGGAGAAACUGCUGAGGCUUCUCGGCCGAUCGUCCGCGGCGCCUCAUCAGCUUCGGGGACUACUGUCGGAGUAAUGGGCCACGGGUAGGCCAACCCGAGUCCCAGAACCUUGCAACACAUCGGGGCAGGCUGCGCCCCUCAAGGCCCCAGGGCGAAGAGCCGCCUUCAAUAAGUCAAUGGCAAGACGGCCGACUGACCACUCGCGGCCGAGUCCCAGGGACGACCACAGGGAAAGCCGAUUCCUGACUGGCGGCUUCCGGAGAAGAAGGCUUUGGAGAGUCGGCCUGCGACUCCAGCAAACCCCGUGACCUCAUCAAGGGGGACGGGGCGGGAGAGUGGCUACAGUGAAGCCCACUCCCGCCCCUUACCAAGGGCGGGCAUGGCCACAACACGCCGUACCCCAGAAGAUCUUCGUGCGGCGUGGCACUGUUGCCAUGCCGGCCCUGACAUCAGCACCGCAGGACCGAAUCCUGCACCCACGACGGCUUGCCUGUACGGCUCAGAGGCAGCGGGUCCCACCAGUCGAUGAGACCCCAGGAGACGGCAAGAGGACCACCAGUCGGACCCGUCGGGAGUCGGCCCGGGGGAGUCGGCCGAGCCCUCCCCCGGGGCCCACGCACCAUUAAUCAAGAUGUGAUGGAGAGUGGCAAUAGUGAUCGCCCGCCAGGCGGCGGGGCUGUUGCCAUGACCCCAUGAUCAAGCCCGCGUCAUCAGAAGCACGGCACAGUAAUCAGCAGCCGGCAAGACCCGCCCGCGGCGGACGCGGCCUGUCGGCUCCGUACCAGGCCAGUCGGCGGGCCCCAGCGGUCGGCGGGGAAGACGGAGGCCAGAGGCGCUGACGGCUGGGCCCAUGUCCCACCGGAUUACCAUUGUACCCCUGGGGGGGUAGGCCUAUAUAAAGCCCCCAGGGCACCCAUGCAAAUGGUUGGAACCCAUUAGCUCUAGGCCAGAUCAUAUAGAAGGGAGAGAGCUAGCCUUUCCCUCUCCUACCUCCAAGAAACAGCUCAAGGAGCAACCGUGUAAACACUUUGCCAUAGUGAUCAUGCGAAGACCCCGCAGAGCAGCAGUAGGGGUAUUAUCUCCCCGGAGAGCCCUAAAGGUCGGUAAGAUUCGCUGGCGUGCAUGCCUUCGCCUCAUCCCGUUUCCAGGCACCGGCGAUAUUCUACUCGCCCCCACCAUGAUAAGCCAUCCUUUGGCAUAUGUCGCACCAAACCCCCGACAAUGAUAAUUAGAAAGGUUGAACCAACGAUGAAAGAAUUGAAAGAUCUUGGAGAAAGGCAUUUGACUGAUGAUAACUUAUUCUUACGUCAAACUUUGAAAGAUUUGAGAAUAACUCUGGUAAAAUUAGAAGAGUCGGGUAAGAUCCUGGGAAAAGACCUGUGGGUUAGGGCCCACUCAAAAGAAA
RNAcentral lists this long non-coding RNA (22964 nucleotides) under Triticum aestivum (bread wheat). RNAcentral describes it as "long non-coding RNA (TAES_LNC014555)". The record is from RNAcentral. Lineage: Eukaryota; Viridiplantae; Streptophyta; Magnoliopsida; Poales; Poaceae.